RNAcentral lists this ribosomal RNA (365 nucleotides) under Somalicharmus whitmanae. RNAcentral describes it as "partial large subunit ribosomal RNA". The record is from RNAcentral. Lineage: Eukaryota; Metazoa; Arthropoda; Arachnida; Scorpiones; Buthidae.
UUAGUCUUGUAAUUCAAGACUAGAAUGAAAGAAUAAAUCAAAAAGGCACUUUUUUAAAUAUAACCCCAAACUUUACCUCCCAGUAAAAAGGCUGAGAUAGAAAUAAUAGACAAGAAGACCCUAUAAAGCUUCAUAUUUAUAAAGAAUUACAAACUCUAACUAAAUAUUCCGCUGGGGCGGCAGAAUCCUUAACAUUUUCUAAUUUCCAAGAUACAAAAAUUUCCAUACCCAAAACUUUUGAAAAACAAACAAGUUACUUUAGGGAUAACAGCAUAAUUUAUUUCGAAAGCUCUUAUUAACAAAUAAGUUUAUGACCUCGAUGUUGGAUUAAAGACUCUCUUUUACGCACAAGUAAAAAAAGUAGU